UACGAAGGGGGCUAGCGUUGUUCGGAAUUACUGGGCGUAAAGCGCGCGUAGGCGGUGAUCUUUGUCAGAGGUGAAAGCCCGGGGCUCAACUCCGGAAUUGCCUUUGAAACGGGAUCGCUUGAGUCCGAGAGAGGAUGGCGGAAUUCCUAGUGUAGAGGUGAAGUUCGUAGAUAUUAGGAAGAACACCGGUGGCGGAGGCGGCCAUCUGGCUCGGUACUGACGCUCAGGCGCGAAAGCGUGGGGAGCAAACAGG
RNAcentral lists this ribosomal RNA (253 nucleotides) under uncultured bacterium. Its description in RNAcentral is "partial 16S ribosomal RNA". It matches the Rfam family "Bacterial small subunit ribosomal RNA", at positions 524 to 776 of the family's 1533-position model. The record is from RNAcentral.